GACUUAAAAUUCGUUGGCUUUAUAGACCAUGAGG
This 34-nucleotide transfer RNA is filed under the name Phlegmariurus pittieri. RNAcentral describes it as "partial tRNA-Leu". The record is from RNAcentral. Lineage: Eukaryota; Viridiplantae; Streptophyta; Lycopodiopsida; Lycopodiales; Lycopodiaceae.